UUUUCACUUCCCAUACACACACAUACCUCUCUCUCUUUCUCAAAACUCUUCUCCUUCAUCUUUCUUUUCAUAAUUUUUGGAUUUAAAAAAAAGGGUAAGAAACAAGGACAAAACUCAAGUUUAACCAACAAUAAUAAUAAGAAUCUUCUAGGUUUAAGUAAGGGUUGAAUCAAGGUAAGGUUUAAGGGUGUUUUUCAAGCAAAGAAAGGGUUAUUUGAGGCUCUAAAAGGUCACGAAUUUUCUGCAUAUUUUCCAUCUUCAAAAGUGUUCUUCAAGGCUUGCUUAAGGGGCGACACCACUAGACACUCUUCACGCAUUUGAACAGCUCUCUAUCGCUCUCAAAACAAGUUUAGAGCAUUAGGUUCGUAGCUUGGACCGCCUCUUGGAUUUGUGUUGCUUGUUAUUCGGUGAACUUGUAAUGCGGACAUUUUGUUUUUCAUUAUGGAUUAUGGUUAUGUAAUGGAUUCUAAAACGUCAUCUUGAACUUAUUGUCUUUUGAUUUCGAAUGAUAUUUGAAACUUAAUGUUGAUGUUUUAUCUUUAAA
Molecule: long non-coding RNA, 544 nt
Organism: Erigeron canadensis
Lineage: Eukaryota; Viridiplantae; Streptophyta; Magnoliopsida; Asterales; Asteraceae
Exons: 3
Source: RefSeq, a predicted model, not a curated record